This is a long non-coding RNA of Solanum dulcamara, 1318 nucleotides long. RefSeq lists it as uncharacterized. The transcript has 3 exons. NCBI's taxonomy places the organism in Eukaryota, Viridiplantae, Streptophyta, Magnoliopsida, Solanales, Solanaceae. The record is from RefSeq and is a predicted model, not a curated record.
CAUAAAAUACCGAAAACCGAAUUACCGAACCGAACCGGCUAUUUCGGUAUUUCGGUAUUCGGUAUUCGGUACUUGGGUCCGGUAUUCGGUACCGGAAUAUUAAAUUUCGGUAUUUCGGUUUCGGUUUCGGUAUUUAUUAAUUAUCCCGUUCGGUAUUCGGGAUUUACCGAAUACCGAAUUAUUUCUGUUGGGCUCCUAAAAAUUCCUUUUAAUUUUUAAACAUAAAGGGCUAUAGGCCCAUUCCUAUAAUUUAAUCCAGCCCAAGCCCAAUUGUCUUCAACAUACCCUAACUCCCUAAGUGAAGUCCCUAACAGACUAACACUUAACCUAUUCAGUAUUCAUCUCAAUACUUCACUACUAUUGAAGUUCUGCUUCUGCCAUUCACGCCGCCUUCACUUCAGCCCUUCAACUUCACUACUACAGUUUGCCCCAUGGAAUCCAUCAGAAGUGCUUAUAACUUCAGCUGAUUCUCGUAUCAGAAUUUUUGACGGAUCAGAUAUGAUCUAUAAGUUUAGAGGUAUUUUCUGAUGCUACUGUUUCUGACUUCUGAUUUUGGAGCUGCUUCAGGUGGUGGUGAUGGUGUGUGUAGUGUGCUGCUGCUGCAGGUAGUGUUGCAGCUUAUGUUGUUUGUUGUUGUUGUGUGUUGCAGCUGAAUCAUUUUGUUGUUGUUGUUGCAUGUUGUAUGCUGUUGCAGGUGCUGUUGACUGUUGUGUGUAGUGUUGCAGCUUGUGUCUAGAAUUUGAUAAUAAUUUGACCAUAAUUAACAGACAACUUGGUUGGAACCCAAAGACAUCCCUAUGGGACUUGCUUGAAUCCACACUCACAUACCAACAUAGGACAUAUGCUGAGGCUGUCAAGCAGGCAAUGUCAAAGACAACUGCAAAUUGAAUGAAGUCAGGAACAGAGCUUUACUGUAUGCUUCAUGUUGGCAGGCUUUCAUAUUCUUUUGAAGAAUCUUCAUCUACUCGGUUUGACUUCAUCCACGUUAUUCUUUUUGUCAUCCACUUCAUGCAAAGGUCAUGGCCAUAAACAUCAUGUUUUCGUGUCAUAUGUAGUGUAAUGCCAUUAAAGCCUUAGCUACAACAGUUUUCGACACAUUAGUCAAAGGAAGCCUGCAAUCUGCUCAUAGAAGUUUUGUUGUCAUUAUAUUAUCAUUCUUCGGUAUGGAAGUAUGUUGUAUCAUUCCACUGAGAUUUUCCUAAUCUAUUACUUUAUUUGUUUGAUUAAACUGUCCUUUUACUUUAUUGUCUAUGUUAGAUAAUGUUAAUCUCCCAAGUACUUGUUUUUACAAUAUAUAUGACUUCUCCAAUUUUCUGUA